This 438-nucleotide ribosomal RNA is filed under the name uncultured bacterium. RNAcentral's name for it is "partial 16S ribosomal RNA". It matches the Rfam family "Bacterial small subunit ribosomal RNA", at positions 339 to 795 of the family's 1533-position model. The record is from RNAcentral.
CUACGGGUGGCAGCAGUGAGGAAUAUUGCACAAUGGGGGGAACCCUGAUGCAGCAACGCCGCGUGGAGGAUGACGCAUUUCGGUUUGUAAACUCCUUUUAUAUGUCAAGAAAAUGACGGUAGCAUAUGAAUAAGCACCGGCUAACUCCGUGCCAGCAGGCGCGGUAAUACGGAGGGUGCAGCGUUACUCGGAAUCACUGGGCGUAAAGGACGCGUAGGCGGGUUGGAAAGUCAGGUGUGAAAUCCUACAGCUUAACUGUAGAACUGCACUUGAAACUUCUAAUCUAGAGUAUGGGAGGGGGAGAUGGAAUUAGUGGUGUAGGAGUAAAAUCCGUAGAUAUCACUAGGAAUACCUAAAGCGAAGGCGAUCUCCUGGAACAUUACUGACGCUAAGGCGUGAAAGCGUGGGGAGCAAACAGGAUUAGAUACCCCCGUAGUC